RNA transcript from Diospyros lotus (date-plum), 1467 nucleotides. It is a transcript of the gene named U1 small nuclear ribonucleoprotein C-like, with no coding region annotated. Lineage: Eukaryota; Viridiplantae; Streptophyta; Magnoliopsida; Ericales; Ebenaceae. The record is from RefSeq and is a predicted model, not a curated record. The transcript is spliced from 3 exons.
AGAUGACAGUUCCGAGGGGAUUAUGUAAUUAACCGUAACUGAGUUUUGGAGCGGAAAAGAGAUCCAUCGGCAACCACCGACAUUCCAUAAUUCUCCGAGCCCGAUUUCCCCUUCCGGCCGACUAGUCCCGCCGCCGAUUCAAACCCUCUCUCUUGCUCUUGGAUUCCUUUUUCUCCAGAUUCUUUGGCGUUCAUUCAAUUCCAAUUUGGGCGCACAAUGCCAAGGCAUGUAAAUUUCAUAAAUCUGGAUAUAGACUAAGAAAUCAGGUUUGUUUCCUUGCGUUGGAGUUGAAUUUCGUCUGAUUUCAGGUACUACUGCGACACUUACCUGACACAUGAUUCUGUGAGUUUAUCUUGGUCUUUUCUUUAAUUAUUCCUGUAUUUAGCCAAAUUUGUUUAUCGAUAUGUCCUUCUGAAUGUUUGAGGUUAUAAUCCAAUUGAAUUGGGCGAACAUUUUACAGAUGUAUGCGUGGUUGUGUGCGUGACAAAUGGGGGUUCAAAUUUUCUUAUCUGGAUUGCAAAAUGGUUAGGAUAGCUCAAACACAACCUCAGCUUGGCCCCUUCAGAGCUUUGUUCGAUAUCCAACAAAUUCUCUAAGUAAUCUAACUUUGAUUGAAUUCUUAGCAUUGAUAAUCUUGACCAAAUGCCUCUUUAUGUUUAUCAUUCUUAAUGCUAAUUUCUUUGAGCCAAUUUACUCACUUUCUUCCAACUUGAUUGUCUCAAGUUUUUCUUCACCUUUCUUACACAGGCUCAACUAGGAGUUUUGGGUGCAUGUGUCCAGGUGUUGAACCUCCUUAAAACCUUUAAUUUAGGAAAUUGUUAAAAUUUGGCGGACCGUAUUUAGGUUUUGGGGGUCAGACACAUAUGUUGUACCUUAUCAGGUAAACAUGGAUACAAAACCAGAGAACCGAAGAGUUCUUCUUCACUUGAAUGCCAUAUGCUUGAGUGGAUGGAAUUCCAGGUAUAAAGAUGGAAAGCGGGAAGGAGAAAAGCUUUGUGGGAACUUGGGAAUUUGUUGGUUAAACACAGGCACGGUUGAAUGAUUUGAUAUUAAUAUUUGCCAUUCAUAUCACUUGGCUCAGAAAAAUUAGCAAGGUAGCAAGCAGAAAGUGAAAAGAUUCAUCUUUUUGAUGCCCUAAAAACCAUGCCUGACUCUUGCUUUCUACAAUAGCACAAUCAUGCCAUUCCAAUUUACAAGGGGCAUUUUUAUCUAACUAUUUGUGUGCCUGUAUGUGCAUAAGUUGUUCAUCAUUUUUACUUGGAGGAAUUUUAAUGCUUAAACCUUUUAUGUUCUGAAAUUAUCUUCCAUCACUUCUCAGCCAUCUGUCAGAAAGCAACACAAUGCUGGUUACAAACAUAAGGCAAAUGUAAGGUCCUAUUAUCAACAAUUUGGGGAAGAGCAGACGCAAAGUUUGAUUCAUCAGAGGAUCAAGGAGCACCUUGGGCAGACUUCAGUAUACCACCAGCA